This 966-nucleotide long non-coding RNA is filed under the name Homo sapiens (human). Its description in RNAcentral is "non-protein coding lnc-TRABD2A-10:1". The record is from RNAcentral. Lineage: Eukaryota; Metazoa; Chordata; Mammalia; Primates; Hominidae.
CUCUUAGCAGCCAUCUCAGUUACGAGUGACUGUCACAGCAUCACAGUGCUUGUGUUCAACUGUUUAAUUGUUCUAUUUUAUUAUUAGUUGUUAAUCUCUUACUGUGCCUAAUUUAUAAAUUAAACGUUAUCAUAGGUGUGUACAGGGUUCGGUACAUGUGUGGCUUCAGGCAUCCACUGGGGAUCUUGGAACAUACCCUCCAUGGAUAAGGGGAGACUAGUGUAUUACUUAAUCAAGUCAAGUUGACAGCUAAAAUUAACCAUCACAGGAAGCAUAUGUCCUUUUCUAACUACUGAAACAAAUUUUGAGGUAUUGAAGUUAUUGCUUUCUUGCAGCUUUGAAAGCAAUCGUCUGUGAAACCAUCUGGGCCUGGCACUCUUCUAAGUGGUAACAAUGUGUGGGUGUGCACGCGUGCGCAUGUGUGUAUGUGUGUAUGUGUCAGAGAGAGAGAGAGAGACAUUAUUCGGUGCAUAGAUUUAUGGCUGAUUUAAAAAUAUUGGACUGUCUGGCCAGGCAUGGUGGCCCACGCCUGUAAUCUCAGCACUUUGGGAGGCCAAGGCGGAUGGAUUACCUGAGGUCAGGAGUUUGAGACCAGGCUGGCCAACAUGGUGAAACCCCAUCUCUACUAAAAAUACAAAAAUUAGCCGGGCAUAGUGGCGCAGUACCUGUAGUCCCAGCUACUCCGGAGGCUGAUGCAGGAGAAUUACUUGAACCUGGGAGGCGGAGGUUGCAGUGAGUCGAGAUGGCACCACUGCACUCCAGCCUGGGUGACAGAGUGAGACUCUGUCUCAGGAAACAAAAACACGACCAGGCGUGGUGGCUCACGCUUGUAAUCCCAGCACCUUGGGAGGCUGAGGCAGGCGGAUCACCUCAGGUCAGGAGUUCAAGACCAGCCUGGCCAACAUGGUGAAACCCCAUCUCUACAAAAAUACAGAAAUUAGCUGGGCAUGAUGGCAGGUGCCUGUA